Molecule: transfer RNA, 64 nt
Filed under: Callipogon relictus
Lineage: Eukaryota; Metazoa; Arthropoda; Insecta; Coleoptera; Cerambycidae
Description: tRNA-Ile
Source: RNAcentral
AGCGAAGUGCCUGAAAAAGGGUGAUCUUGAUAGGAUCAAUCAUGCAGCCAAGCUGCCUCCGCUA